GACGAACGCUGGCGGCGUGCUUAACACAUGCAAGUCGAACGGUAAGGCCCUUCGGGGUACACGAGUGGCGAACGGGUGAGUAACACGUGGGUGAUCUGCCCUGCACUUCGGGCUAAGCCUGGGAAACUGGGUCUAAUACCGGAUAGCACCAUGCGCUUCACGGUGUGUGGUGGAAAGCUUUUGCGGUGUGGGAUGGGCCCGCGGCCUAUGAGCGUGUUGGUGGGGUGAUGGCCCACCAAGGCGACGACGGGUAGCCGGCCGGAGCGGCUGAGCGGCCACACUGGGAGUGGGAUACGGCCCAGACCCCUACGGGAGGCAGCAGUGGGGAAUAUUGCACAAUGGGCGCAAGCCUGAUGCAGCGACGCCGCGUGAGGGAUGACGGCCUUCGGGUUGUAAACCUCUUUCAGUAGGGACGAAGCGCAAGUGACGGUACCUACAGAAGAAGGACCGGCCAACUACGUGCCAGCCGCCGCCGUAA
This 478-nucleotide ribosomal RNA is filed under the name uncultured bacterium. Its description in RNAcentral is "partial 16S ribosomal RNA". It matches the Rfam family "Bacterial small subunit ribosomal RNA", at positions 28 to 523 of the family's 1533-position model. The record is from RNAcentral.